AUUGAACGCUGGCGGCAUGCUUUACACAUGCAAGUCGAACGGUAACAGGCCUUCGGGUGCUGACGAGUGGCGAACGGGUGAGUAAUGCAUCGGAACGUACCCAGAGGUGGGGGAUAACGCAGCGAAAGCUGUGCUAAUACCGCAUGUGAUCUGAGGAUGAAAGCGGGGGACCGAGCAGCAAUGUUUGGCCUCGCGCCUUUGGAGCGGCCGAUGUCGGAUUAGCUAGUUGGUGGGGUAAAGGCCUACCAAGGCGACGAUCCGUAGCUGGUCUGAGAGGACGACCAGCCACACUGGGACUGAGACACGGCCCAGACUCCUACGGGAGGCAGCAAUGGGGAAUUUUGGACAAUGGGCGCAAGCCUGAUCCGGCAAUGCCGCGUGCGGGAAGAAGGCCUUCGGGUUGUAAACCGCUUUUGGCAGGAACGAAACGGUGUCCGCUAAUACCGGGCGCUAAUGACGGUACCUGCAGAAUAAGCACCGGCUAACUACGUG
This 492-nucleotide ribosomal RNA is filed under the name uncultured bacterium. RNAcentral describes it as "partial 16S ribosomal RNA". It matches the Rfam family "Bacterial small subunit ribosomal RNA", at positions 29 to 507 of the family's 1533-position model. The record is from RNAcentral.